AGCUUUGCGCAGUGGCAGUAUCGUAGCCAAUGAGGUUUAUCCGAGGCGCGAUUAUUGCUAAUUGAAAGAAUUAGAUACAAGUUAUUGUACCCUCUAGAAGUGAUCAGAAAACAGUCCAAAGCUAUGUUUUUGUUUCCCACAUUUAAGAAA
RNAcentral lists this small nuclear RNA (150 nucleotides) under Neogale vison (American mink). Its description in RNAcentral is "Neovison vison (American mink) U4 spliceosomal RNA (ENSNVIG00000014399.1)". The stretch from base 1 to 69 matches the Rfam family "U4 spliceosomal RNA". The record is from RNAcentral. Lineage: Eukaryota; Metazoa; Chordata; Mammalia; Carnivora; Mustelidae.